RNAcentral lists this transfer RNA (73 nucleotides) under Marmota monax (woodchuck). Its description in RNAcentral is "tRNA.Ser". The record is from RNAcentral. Lineage: Eukaryota; Metazoa; Chordata; Mammalia; Rodentia; Sciuridae.
GAGGGUGUGACUCAGUGGUGGAGGGCUUGCCUAGAAUGUGCAAGACCCUGGGUUCCAUCCCCAGCACCGUACA